RNAcentral lists this ribosomal RNA (449 nucleotides) under uncultured bacterium. RNAcentral's name for it is "partial 16S ribosomal RNA". It matches the Rfam family "Bacterial small subunit ribosomal RNA", at positions 338 to 795 of the family's 1533-position model. The record is from RNAcentral.
CCUACGGGUGGCUGCAGUCGAGAAUCUUCGGCAAUGGGCGCAAGCCUGACCGAGCGACGCCGCGUGCGGGAUGAAGGCCUUCGGGUUGUAAACCGCUGUCGAGGGGAAUGAAGUGCAGGUGGGUUCUCCCAUCUGUUUGACAGAUCCCUGGAGGAAGCAUGGGCUAAGUUCGUGCCAGCAGCCGCGGUAAGACGAACCAUGCAAACGUUAUUCGGAUUCACUGGGCUGAAGGUCUUCGUAGGCGGUCGUGAAAGCCCUCAGCCAAACUGAGGAAUUGCGCUUGAUACUGCAUGACUAGAGAAUGAUAGAGGUGGGUGGAACUGAUGGUGGAGCGGUGAAAUGCGUUGAUAUCAUCAGGAACACCAGUGGCGAAGGCGACCCACUGGGUCAUUUCUGACGCUGAGGUACGAAAGCUAGGGUAGCGAACGGGAUUAGAUACCCGAGUAGUC